UCCGCCAGAGAACUACAAGUGAAAAACUUAAAACUCAAAGGACUUGGCGGUGCCCCACAUUCAGCCUAGAGGAGCCUGUCCUAUAAUCGAUACUCCCCGCUCCACCUAACCUCAACUAGCACUUUUACUCAGCCUAUAUACCGCCGUCGACAGCUUACCCCAUGAGGGAUAUAACAGUAGGCACAAUAGCCCCCACCCCUAACACGUCAGGUCAAGGUGUAGCUCAUGUUGAGGUAGAGAUUGGCUACAUUUUUUGUCUUAAAAAAAACGGAACGUUCAAUGAAAAACAACACGAAGGCGAAUUUAGUAGUAAAGCAGACAAGAGAAUCUGCCUUAACAAUGCUCUGGGACGCGCACACACC
RNAcentral lists this ribosomal RNA (362 nucleotides) under Psammodromus blanci. RNAcentral's name for it is "partial 12S ribosomal RNA". It matches the Rfam family "Bacterial small subunit ribosomal RNA", at positions 868 to 1391 of the family's 1533-position model. The record is from RNAcentral. Lineage: Eukaryota; Metazoa; Chordata; Lepidosauria; Squamata; Lacertidae.